This is a long non-coding RNA of Symphalangus syndactylus (siamang), 455 nucleotides long. RefSeq lists it as uncharacterized. The record is from RefSeq and is a predicted model, not a curated record. NCBI's taxonomy places the organism in Eukaryota, Metazoa, Chordata, Mammalia, Primates, Hylobatidae.
AGAAGGAAGCAGGACGUCAAAGUCUGGAUGUCAGGAUGCAAAUGUAUGUGAGAACUCAGAAAUGGAGGGGGUCACUGACCCGUGCCACACGGAUUUCCGGAGCCUCUUCUCCUGGGCAACAGAGCAAGACCCUGUCUCAAACAACAUUAACAAGCCAGGAACUCAAUCAUUUCCAACCUUGUGAAGGGCCAAGAGGAAAAUAUUCAGGGCAAGAAAACCUUUAAGGAAGGCUUCACACCCACAUCUUCUAGUGUGGGAUCAGAAAAGCAAGUAGGCCCUGGUCCUCCCGACGUUCACAACCCUUACCUCUCAGGAUCUUCUAAGAUGAGAUGUCACAUACAGGAGGGGCCUGCACACAGAAGGCAGCCAAGAAAUGGACGAAAAAGAUUCGCGUAUUUUUUAAAGCACUAAAUGGUUAUGGUAAAAUAUUAUUUUGGAGGAAGUGUAGGGGGAGG